GGGGGCGUAUUUGGCUUCGACGGGGGUAAGUUGGACUUGAGCAGCGAGUCGAAGGUUUCCGGGCCUGCGUUAAAAAACUGGGAAUUAAAUAUAAACGCAAAUAACGAAGAUAAUUUAGCUUUAGCAGCUUAGUCUGCUAGCCGUCCUUCCUUUGAGUCCCGCGGCUUAGGAUAGGGCGUCGAUAGCGGGGAAACGAGCCUCACAAAGCUUUGAGUGAGGAACGGAAUUUAUGAAGCUACUGAAACUGAAAGCCUGUUUGUAGGCGUUCAGCAGAGGGAAAUUUAAAAUACAAACUGCACUCGGAGAUACUCAGGUGUUUCUACUUUCGGACAGGGGUUCGACACCCCUCGCCUCCACCA
This 359-nucleotide transfer-messenger RNA is filed under the name Clostridiaceae. RNAcentral's name for it is "JN-1 sp003600355 Standard tmRNA". It matches the Rfam family "transfer-messenger RNA". Rfam says of the family: Bacterial tmRNA, also known as 10Sa RNA or SsrA, is named for its dual tRNA and mRNA-like properties. Lineage: Bacteria; Bacillati; Bacillota; Clostridia; Eubacteriales. RNAcentral also lists the same sequence under 1 other name. The record is from RNAcentral.